UGAGCAAUCCGCCCUUCUCUUCGGAAUAAGCGUUGGAAACGACGUCUAAUGCCGAAUACGACCUCCUUUCGCAUGAUCGGAGGUGGAAAGCUCCGGCGGAGAAGGAUGAGCUCGCGGCCUAUCAGCUAGUUGGUGUGGGUAAUGGCCCACCAAGGCGACGACGGGUAGCCGGCCUGAGAGGGUGACCGGCCACACUGGGACUGAGACACGGCCCAGACUCCGUACGGGAGCAGCAGG
Molecule: ribosomal RNA, 237 nt
Filed under: uncultured bacterium
Lineage: Bacteria
Description: partial 16S ribosomal RNA
Rfam family: Bacterial small subunit ribosomal RNA
Source: RNAcentral